UUUUUUAACUGCUUAAGUUCCUGCAAAACGUUUAAUCAAAAUACAUCUAUUAUUGACCCGAGGCUGUGGCAUAUGUUACUGGUACUACUGCCCUUGUUUGGGUUAAUAAUGAAACAGCUAAUCUAGUCCCCUUUGUUAAACUGUGCAAAUCCGCAAACAUCCCUACGCAUCUCUGACUGUCAGACUGUCAAAUACCUGUGUCUGUUUGUCUGUGUAACAUAGGCACUAUCAGAAUAAAUAUGAUUCUUUCUAAGGGCCAGCCAAGAACCCCACCGCACUAGGUGUGGUACAGACAGAGUAGCAGAUGGUCCCUGCUCCAAAGCCAAUGAUGUGAGCUCUGUCUUUGCCUUGCACAGCACCAAAUGUUCUCUCAGCAUUUAUUGUAAGGGUUAGUAGUGGCUGCGUGAACAGCUGGUGAUGUGCAUUCCUGACGUGGAAAACUUUAGGGAGAACAAGGCCAAAUUUUCACAUUUGAUGCCUGACUUUAGGCAGGUUAAGUUUUAAAACUUGCCCCAGUUUGCUCCCAGCUGAUGUGUGUGGAGUAAACUCCAUCGAACAGAUGGUUCAAACUGUGCAUCUGAAGGUUGAUCCCAGAACAGCUACAGCACUUCCCACAACAGCGUUUGCUCCCGGUUCCCCUGAACUUUCUAGUGAGAUCCCCAAACAGACAGAGGAAGCUAAAGUCGCUUCCCCGUGACUGAGAGCGCACGUUUCAAUCAUCUGCCUAGGCCACAAAGCCGGUGCCNAAGAGACGUUCGAAGGGUAGCAGCGGCCAAGAGAAGGUAGCAAAGCGAUCUGGCAGGAAGAAGGGGAAAGAGCUUGUCCAAGGAGCCGAGAACGCCAAGGCAAAUGAAGCAAGAAAGCCAAACGCCAGGUCCAGAAGGAAAGCAUCCGCAAGUCAAGGGUCUCCCAUGAGCGAAGCUCCUGCUGCAGAUAGGAAGAGGCAGGCAUCUGCUCGGAGAAGCACAGGAGCAGCUACUGCUGCCCCAAGAUCCAGGCGGGUGAAGGCUGAAUGACUGGUCUGGCACAGCAUCUGUCCUCGCUCCAGCCUGGGGUAACUCAAAUGGGAACUCGCUUGCUACUGCUGCAUGUGCUGAGGGAGAUGCACUGGGAGCAGCUGCUGGGGUGACUUCUCUCAAGCGGGCGUGCCCACUGCAUUGUUUCUUAGAUCCUUCCUCAGAGGGGCUUGCUGCAGGGGCUCU
RNAcentral lists this long non-coding RNA (1202 nucleotides) under Chrysemys picta bellii (western painted turtle). RNAcentral describes it as "lncRNA (ENSCPBG00000011668.1)". The record is from RNAcentral. Lineage: Eukaryota; Metazoa; Chordata; Testudines; Emydidae.